GCCUGGGUGGCUCAGUCGGUUGAGCGUCUGACUUCAGCUCAGCUCAUGAUCUCACGGUCUGUGAGUUCGAGCCCCGCGUCGGGCU
This is a transfer RNA of Felis catus (domestic cat), 85 nucleotides long. It matches the Rfam family "tRNA". Rfam says of the family: Transfer RNA (tRNA) molecules are approximately 80 nucleotides in length. Their secondary structure includes four short double-helical elements and three loops (D, anti-codon, and T loops). Further hydrogen bonds mediate the characteristic L-shaped molecular structure. tRNAs have two regions of fundamental functional importance: the anti-codon, which is responsible for specific mRNA codon recognition, and the 3' end, to which the tRNAs corresponding amino acid is attached (by aminoacyl-tRNA synthetases). tRNAs cope with the degeneracy of the genetic code in two manners: having more than one tRNA (with a specific anti-codon) for a particular amino acid; and 'wobble' base-pairing, i.e. permitting non-standard base-pairing at the 3rd anti-codon position. Lineage: Eukaryota; Metazoa; Chordata; Mammalia; Carnivora; Felidae. The record is from Rfam.